This 136-nucleotide transfer RNA is filed under the name Cyphobasidiales sp. Tagirdzhanova-0007. RNAcentral's name for it is "tRNA-Pro". Lineage: Eukaryota; Fungi; Basidiomycota; Cystobasidiomycetes; Cyphobasidiales. The record is from RNAcentral.
GCCGAGAUAGCUCAGUUGGGAGGUAUGGGUAACCACACGAUUCGGAUGAAUCUCAAUUGAUAAAUAGUCUGCAGAGCGUACGCCUGAAGUAUCUAUCGUCAGCGUGAUGUCACUGGUUCGAUCCCGGUUCGCGGCA